CCGAGCUGGCGCGGCCAAUGGUGCCCGAGGCGAGGGGGAGGGACCAAUGGAGCGCCGGGCAGAGCCAGACCCAAGCAAAAACAAAGCCGUCUCUCUGAAACAAAAACGAAACAGACGUGGCCGGGGAAAGCCAAAUGUUUCCUGCCAUCCUGGUGAACACAAUCGAGCAAGGCAGUGAAGCAAAAAUCAUUAGGUGGCUGGAUCCAGACACAUCACGUGCCAGUUUGGGUUCCAAGGUGCUUCCCUCUGAAUUUUCACCUGCCUUGCCAAAAAUGAUUGAUUACGCUGGGCCGACUGGGUGUCCAGCAAUACCCAACAAAUGACUUUGGCCCCUAACAGCAGGCCUUGGCCAGAUAGAAAUCAAUAUUUCACCAUUAAAAUCUAUCAAAGAAGAGUUAAGGCACCAUCUGUCCCUGCCGCCUCUCUAUGGUGUGUGAACAUUAAAUCCGACACUUGUACUACAUGGGUAAUCAAUAUAUAGUGGUUCACAGAUCAUUUGUGGUUCCCUUUUAGCAGUGAUGGAUGUCUGGAAUCAUUGUGAUUCAUUUUGUCAGACCAUUAAACAAGAUUCUGUCCAGUUCCUUCCUGAUUUCA
This is a long non-coding RNA of Orcinus orca (killer whale), 594 nucleotides long. RefSeq lists it as uncharacterized. The transcript is spliced from 3 exons. The record is from RefSeq and is a predicted model, not a curated record. NCBI's taxonomy places the organism in Eukaryota, Metazoa, Chordata, Mammalia, Artiodactyla, Delphinidae.